Oryza brachyantha (malo sina) is the source of this 523-nucleotide long non-coding RNA. RefSeq lists it as uncharacterized. The record is from RefSeq and is a predicted model, not a curated record. Lineage: Eukaryota; Viridiplantae; Streptophyta; Magnoliopsida; Poales; Poaceae. The transcript is spliced from 3 exons.
GCCGUCCUCUCCCUCCACGUCUCCGGCCGCACCGCCGGCGCCGGCGGCGAGGGUGCGGUGCCCCACCCCUCCGGCCCUCGCGGCGCUACCAGAAAUAUUCCCGUUCCUCCUACUUGGACGUCGCGGCUAUGGCGGCUGACAUGGAGGAUCCUCCACGUCGCCGGCGACCUGAUCAACCCUACAUUGCCGCCGCCCGCCGCCGCCGCCCUCUUUAAGCGGCUUCUCCUUUGGUCACCACCCGUCAGAUCCCCUCCUCCUCCGGCCGGAGAGAGAGAGAGAGAGCAAGUAGCUGCCCGGCCGUGCCUUGCAGGAGAGAAACCCGUGGCUUUCCUUGAGAGACUUUCAGAACCCACUGCAGGAGCCGCGGACUGAAAUUUCAUGGCUCAUUUUGACACCAGGGUCAAACAAAGUCAGCGCCCUGGAACCUGGAUACUUCAAGCAAAGACAAGCCGUGUUCAUUCCCAGGAAGUCAAUUUAAGGCUCGUUGACCUCAUCAUCAUCUGUCACGCAAGAGAAGAUGCCA